Molecule: long non-coding RNA, 2803 nt
Organism: Mauremys reevesii (Reeves's turtle)
Lineage: Eukaryota; Metazoa; Chordata; Testudines; Geoemydidae
Exons: 6
Source: RefSeq, a predicted model, not a curated record
AAAGGCAGGAAGCAGCGGGGGGAGGGGGUCGCGCCUCUUCUCCCGCCAGACGGACGGGUGGGCGCGGCGGCCAGCAGACCCCGCAAUGCGUUCGGUUAUCAUCCCCUCCCCCAGCGUGGACGGUGCGGCGUGCUGCUUAAGUCCCCCCUGCGGAGGGGUCGACCUCGGGGGAGCGGGUGGCUGCUGAGUAGGCGCGUGCGCAGAACGGCUCGGAGGGAGCCCCGGCAGCGACCGGCUCCGUGUGCCCCGCGGACGGCAGCGGCCCGGGGGCUGCGGCGCACGAGAGCGACGCCCGCGGAUGCGUGGCUAGGCCUCCGUCCUGGGGGAGAUGGUGCAAUGGUCCUGCCCUUCAGCGAUGGAAGUAGGUGUUUUCCCCACCGGACCUGCUCGGGCAUUUAGUAGCACUGAGGAGUCCUUAAAGACACCAAGGCAACGGACAACGUUAUCUGAGGGCACAGGUUCCCAAUGCUGUGCAUGGGAUCAGUUCGCUGAAGACAUUUUCCCUCUUCCUUCCAGCAGUCUCAGGCUUGACUGGAUUCAGCUUUAAUCAGCUGUUCUUCAUCCAGGUGGUGAUUGCAGUUGAGCAUUUUAGGGAGGCUUCUUUAUUAGCUUGCUUAGGAAAGGGAAGUUAGAGGUAGGGUAUUUGUGAGACUUCCUGCUUCAAGCACAGGUUCCUUCUAAUAUUUGGCCCACUGUUGCAUGCUUUAGGGUGGACAGUGCUAGUUCCCCUCAAAGGCAGUGUUCAUAGUAUCUGUUAAUUAGGGGUCCAGAGUGUUCUUUGUUUUUUACCAUGCAGGAAGGAGGCCCUGCCUGCACUCGGACUCCUGUGAUUGUACAGUUCCUAGAAGGGACAAUAGUUGCUUUGGGUCCUGUUCUCAGCCUCUUGGUGGCUAAAGAGGCCAUCAGGGAUGCAGGAUAUACUGAUACUGAGGAAAUGGAAUGCAAUUGUCCCUCCUCUGCUGCUUCUUUUUUUUGUUUUUUAAAGCUGCAGGUACCUAUGCUCAGAAUUUUGAGCCAACACUCUGCCUUCUUCCUUCCUCCUACAAAACUGCCAGUUGGGAUUGAUGGAGGGGAUGCACUUUAGGCCUUAAUUUUAGCUGGAGUCAAAUAAAAAUAUUGCUGUAUUGGUAACUGAAGAAAAGAUCUGUGCAGCUGGAACCUCUUCAUAUUAAGCAAAAGUGCUUAUGGAUACCACGGUGGUUUAACUACAGAAGAAUCUCUUCAUGUAUCAUGGACGUGUCUUUCUCCUCAGUUCACUACCAGUUGUGACAGAACAGGAAGUAAAAUAUACUGCAAAUCUUAAGAUUUCUAGGAACUUAAUAGCUGUUACUGCUUCAGCAGACCCUUACUAGGAACUUCCUGGUAGCAAUGGGGAUACAACUGAGAUCUUCCUGAUCUAGAACUCAAACCCCUCUCACUUUAGCUAGAUGAGAAUGUUUGUAGCAGAGGGAUUAUCCUGUAUAGUGAAGUUCUUUUCCUUCUAGGAGACAACACAUGCAAGUCAGCUCGUUACAAUGUUAUCCAAUAGAAACCUUCAGGGAGAGUGAUACAGAAUCAUCUCCAGCUGGGGUUCAGGAGACAGCAAGUCUGUGAGGAUGGAAACUGCCAGCUUUUUCUGUGCCAAAAUGUAGAUUUCUUACGCAGACUGUUUUUCCUGCCAACAAAUGGCUGCUUAACAAGGUGAUGAUCCAUUUGAUUUUGUUGACUUGCUGAGGUGUCAGUUUGCCUUUUGUCUCUAAGGAAAUGGUUUAUGGAUACUUUUCUAAACUUGGAGCAUGUCUCAAUAAUGUUAAACAACAGUAUUUUAUAACUUUACAUACAGUGUUGCCACACAUAUUUUACAGGACAAUAAUGAUCAGCAAAUGAUGAGUUUUCACAUGAUACCUCACAAGGCACACUUUGUACAAAACGUAUCAUAGUCUUGUAAAAAGGGUGAACAUAAGGAUACAGACGGUCAUAUGGGGAAUAGAGGUAAGCUAGGAAAAUAACUGGCUGAUCACUCAUUUCUAUUGUAGUGGUGACCCCAAUCAGUGGUUAGGGUCUCAUUGUAUGAAACAAAUUACACAAAGACAGACCCACGCCACGAAGCUCACAAUCAAAGAUUUAGACAACAAAAUACAAAAUGUGAAUAAACAGACAAAUGGGAGGAGCAGGGGGCAGGAGAUCAAGGUUAUAGUAAAGAGUGCGUGUGACGGGAUUACAGUGGGUAUAAUUUGCAUUCAAAUUUGCAAUGACACCUCCAGAACUGGUUUCCAAAGAGACCUAUGGAAAAUAAGCAGCAGUAUUUACAGUAUUCGUUUAAUAUUUUAACUGGUUCUGCACUUCGUUUUUGUUCCCUGUUCAUAAACUGGAGGCUAUUCUCUGUGUGCCCUUGCCCUGAUGAUUUGUUAAUAUACAUCAACUUUCAGGUUAUUGACCUGGUCUGUGAUUUAUAAAAUUCCUGCUUUUCAUUGGCAAUUAUGAAGUAUAUGGUCAGUUAUGAACCCUUUAGUCCUCCCUGUUCAGGUUGUUCCUUAUAUACAUUAAGACCUACAACAUUUGUUUCAAUGAUGUUGGGCCACAAAUUUUUCAAUGAAUACGCCACAACGUUAUGAAUUUGGAAUGAAUUAUUGCCUUUUCCCAGGGAAAAAUUGUUUGGGUUACACUACUGUUGAUUUUAACUAUAAUAAAUUGCUUAGAAACAAGCUGUGUGCAGUUUGGUCUGAAUUACUAAAUUCUUGUGACUAAUUACUGGCAUUCAUUAUGAGCUCUGGUCUUUAGUUUUCCAAGCAAGGUUAAAUGAUGCCACUGUUUGACCUUUUCC